AGUCCAGCGGGUGGUGGUGCGCCCACACGAUCCGCAAGCCUUAAAAUACUCCGCCACACCACGGAGUAUACAAUUGACCUGGCUGUGCGAGCCCAUCGACCCCUUUAAAUAGUACUCCUACUGUACGCGCACAGUGCAGAGAUCGUUUUUUAUACGGAAAGAUCGGUGGGAGCUGAUAGCAACAGGAGCGGCAUUAUAAAACCCACCGCGGUGGCGAGCGCAAAGGCGCGCGCGCGCCCCUCUCGAUCUCCAUGGAGCCCAGGUAGGUCCUCUGCUCCUCGCCGCCCGGCUGGUCGUCUCGUCUCCCGGAUUGGAAGGCUGCUGCCGGUGUGGAACAAGGUGGCGACACGCGAGAUUUCGCCGGCGAGCCGAGUCGGAGACGGUGGCCGCGAGAGGAGGCGGGCUGGCGGGGUGCCUUGGUGCUCGCUGUUCGAGUGUGAGGUAUACGUUGGUGUCGCUCGCCUCGCGGUUCAUUCGGUGCUUGGCCUUGGGGCUCUGCGACUGCCCUGGCGUCAUGCCUGAGCUCUGGCGAGAGCCUCCCGCGGGUCAACGGGGAGAGGGGGCCAGCGUGCCAGGGCCUGAGCCGGAGCGCGACGCAAUGCAAUGCGGCGACCGGCAGGGCGGGGUACCCACUGCUGCUUCGUCGGCCUCGGCGGAGUACUAGCAUGAUGACGCGAGGACUUUGAUGAGAUGUGAACCGGCGCGGCGUCUGGCUGGCCGGCAUGGAGCGGGAUUGGUCGUCGCAGAGUUCGAGCCAGGGCGCGCCGUUCGAGGUCGACCGUGACGCAGGGUCUGUAUCUGUAUAUGCUUGGACAGAGCCUGCGUGGUGCGGUUCCGUCCAUGUCAUUCAUGCUCGGAAUCGUUCAACAAGGACGGACGGGAACACAUCAUGCUUAUCUAUCUAUCUAUCCGUGCCGGCCGUACUAUUGUACAUUGCUUGCUUGCGUUCGUCUCCUUUCUAUGCCGACUGUUUUGGCUUUUCCAGGCUGCCGCUGCUUGCUGCAUUGUGAAGUUUUGGAUCUUGACCUGCUGCUUAAAUAACUCUUCCUGGUUGAUUUUUUUAUAAUUUAUUAGUAAUAAAUUAAAUAAAGAGGGCUGCUGAGCCCGGGAUAAUUCCGUGUCA
Triticum aestivum (bread wheat) is the source of this 1123-nucleotide long non-coding RNA. RefSeq lists it as uncharacterized. The record is from RefSeq and is a predicted model, not a curated record. NCBI's taxonomy places the organism in Eukaryota, Viridiplantae, Streptophyta, Magnoliopsida, Poales, Poaceae. The transcript has 2 exons.